GCAAGUUAUAAAAAAAAUAAUUAUACAGGUUGAUUAGUAUUUCAAAACUUCAAGGUUAGAACUCUUUCAUCAAGAAAUUUACAGUGAAAAGGUCUUGAUAGUUAAUUUCUUUGCUCUGUAGCGUAUGUGUAUACUACAGAGCAGAGAAAUCAAGCUUUUAACACCAUUUCUCUGUAUAUUUCUUGAAGGUGAAGUGUACAGGUUAUAUAAUAUAUAUAUUUAUAUAUAUAUCUUUAUAUAUACAUACACACACACACACAUAUAUAUAUGUGUAUAUAUAUCAUCAUCAUCAUCGUUUAACGUCUGCUUCCCAUGCUGGCAUGGGUUGGACAGUUUGACUGGGGACUGGUGAGCUUGAUGGCUGCAAGAGGCUCCAAUCUGAUAUGGCAGAGUUUCUACAGCUGGAUGCACUUCCUAACACCAACCACUCCAAGAUUGUAGUGGGUGCUUCUACGGGCCAGUCAGGCAGUACUGGCAACGGCCACACUUUAAUAGUGUUUUUAUGUGUCACCUGCACAGGGGAUAGUCCAGCGGCAAUGGCAACACCCUCGCUCAAAUGUUGUUUUUCACGUACCACUGGCACAAGUGCUAGUAAGGCGACACUGGUAACAAUCAUGCUCGAAUGAUGCUUUUUACAUGCCACCGGCACAGGAGCCAGUCAGUUGCCCUGGCAACGAUCAUACUCAGAUGGUGCUCUUAGCGCUCCACUAAGCACGGAUACCAGUCAUGUGGUCCUGUCAUUGAAUUUGAUUUCGAUUUCACUUGGCUCAAGAGGUCUUCGCAAGCAGAGUUUAGUGUCCAAUGAAAGAAAGGUACACCUAAGUGGGCUGGUUACACCACUGGCAUAGGCCAAGCUCCCGUGCCUUGGCUUGCCGGGUCUUCUCAAGCACAGCAUAUUUCCAAAGGUCUUGAUCACAAGUCAUUGCCUCGGUGAGACCUAUAUAUAUAUAUAUAUAUAGUACAUAUGCAUAUCAGCGGUGGCAACUUUAGUAUCCAAGAAUUUAUUUUCUUCUUUGUUGAACGCUUCCUUUAUGGUGAUGUCAUUGAUGACUCUGUAGACCAGUUCUUGCAUAGAAGAGUCAAUGCCAAUGACUGCAUGGUAAUGUUGGUGGAGGACAAGGUUGAUUUGUAUAUAUAUACUGUCUUAUCUUAUUAAACUCCAAACUUCAUAAAGUCACUCAGAGUUUCACAUAACUAUUAUCAAUUGUGAUAAUACAGACUAGAAAAGAAAUUUUAUAAUUUAUGUGUGUAUGUGUGUGUGCAUGUAUAUAUAUAUAUAUAUAUAUUUGAGCCAAAAAGUAAUGCAAAUAAAAAUUGCAUUACUUUCCAACUCAUCUUUAUAUAUAUAUAUAUAUCAUCAUCAUCAUCAUCAUUCAUUAUCAUUUUAACAUCAUAUAUGUGUGUAUGUAUAUGUGCAUGUAUAUAUAUAUGUGUGUGUAUAUGUAUGCACAUGCUUAUAUGCAUGUAUGUUUGUGUAAAUAUUUAUGCAUGCAUGUAUCUUUAAAUAUCAAAAUCAUCCCGUCCAGAGGACUGACUUAACAUUGGACAUUAGACCCAUCCAUAAUCUUGUGGAUAUUAGUUAGAUUUCACAGGAGGUGAAGUGAUUUUUUUUUUUAUCAGACUGAUCUGCUUCAACACAGCUAAAGUCAUUAGCAGACCACUUGUACAUAAUAAUAACAUUUUAAACAAGCAAAAUGCCACUAAUAAUAAUGGUGGUGACAGUAACUGUGGUGAACAAAUGUUUGGUUGGUGGUCAGUAUGAUGUGUGAUGGUUAUGGUGACAGUGCCAACAUUGGUAACAGGUUUGUAGUAGUGGUUUUGGUGGUCUUUGUUGUUUUCUUGGAUUUUGUUGUUAUUUUUGAUACACUGAUAUUGAUGUUGAUAUUGCAGUGCUGAUAUUGGUAAAUUCUGGUUUAGAAGCCUCUUUUGACUUUGAGCCAACUCACUAAAUGUUCAGAGAACCACAAAAUGAAGUCUUGAGAUUUGUCUUGUCUUUGCCAAAUAUGAAUUCAUUACUCUUCUCUAUUUAUUCCAAUGUAUGUAUGUAUAUAUAUGUGCCACUGCGUGGCACCUUGGGCAAGUGUCUUCUACUAUAGCCUCGGGCCGACCAAAGCCUUGUGUGUGAUUUGGUAGACAGAAACUGAAAGACGCCUGUCGUAUAUAUGUAUAUAUAUAUGUAUGUGUGUGUAUAUAUGUUUGUGUGUCUGUAUUUGUCCCCUCCAACAUCACUUGACAACUGAUGCUGGUGUGUUUACAUCCCUGUAACUUAGCAGUUCGGCAAAAGAGACUGAUAGAAUAAGUACUGGGCUUACAAAGAAUAAGUCUUGGAGUCGAUUUGCUCAACUAAAGGCAGUGCUCCAGUAUGGCCACAGUCAAAUGAGAGAAGCAAGUAAAAGAGUAAAGAGUAUAUAUAUAUAGGUAUAGGCAUAUAUGUAUGUAUAUGUCUAUAUUUAUUAAAAGACUUGAAUAUGUGGUAUCAUUUUAAUGCUGAUACACAUGUUUCAUGACAAUAUGGGAAAUACAUUUUAUGAAUAUAAAUAUUAAUAUUAGUAUUAAUAAUAUAAAUGUAUUAAAUUCAUAAUAGAAAUAUACAUACAUUUAGAUCAUCCUCCAUGCAUAAAUCUUCAAGCAGAAUCUCAAAAUAAUACAUUUAAGACUUGAAUAAUUUCAAAUAUAUGGCUUAUUGAAAUUCAACAUGUAUGUAUGUAUGAUUUUCUCAUUUAAAAUAAAACAUCUACAUACAGACAAUUGAUAGCAUAAAAGACACAAGGACAUGUUAGAAAUAUCUCAAUUUCAGCUGGGCACUUUCAGGAGUAAAAAUAGGUUUGUGCAUUAAUGCUUAUGGUACAUCCAACUUUGCAUAUAGGGCCUAGAGUGACUUUUUAAGGCAUGGGAGGGGAGGGUAUUUUACAUCCCAUCAAGUACAGUGUGUGUAUGUGUGCAUGAAUGAAUAAAUGAUAAAUGUUUAUUUUAUCAAUUUGGGAAACAAAGAACUAAGGUUACUGCAAUAGGAUUUGAACUCACAACUGUUAAAACUAUGUUGUGAUUAUUCAGCUAUGCUGGUCAGUUUGGCAGUUUUCUGUUGAUUGAAGAAAGAAAUGUUAUGAGUUUAAUAGUGGCUUCCUUCACUGGAGAAUUCAUCAAAGAGAAGUGUAUAUACAUACAGCAGCACUGUCUAAAACUAAUGUUAUGCGUACAUGUUUGUGUGUAUAUAUAUAUAAACAUACAGAACAUUAAUACUCAUUAAAGAUAUUAAUGUCAAUAGCUGCAAGCUAAACCGUAUAGGCAAAAUUAAUAGAUAUAUAUAAAAGAAUUAUAUAUAACAAGGGCGCUUGUUAUAAGCACCAGCUUUGCUAAAAGUAAGAUUCAAAAUAUUCUGAAAUCCACAAAAAUUAUCUCUAGAUUUUCACAGGCAUGGUUGGGAAAAAAAACUAAGUGAAAUUGGGAUUGUGUCUUACCUCGGCAAAAUGCAAGAAUGAAAAAGCACCCUUGUCAUCAUCAUCAUCAUCAUCAUCAUCGUUUAACGUCCGUUUUCCGCGCUAGCACGGGUUGGAUGGUUUCGACCGGGGUCUGGGGAGCUCGGGACUGCCCCAGGCUCCAGUCUAGUCUGGCAGUGUUUCUACAGCUGGAUGUCCUUCCUAACGCCAACCACUCCGCGAGUGUAGUGGGUGUUUUUUACGUGCCACCUGCACAGGUGCCAGAGGGGUCUGGCAUCGGCCACGUUCGGAUGGUGC
This 3734-nucleotide long non-coding RNA is filed under the name Octopus vulgaris (common octopus). Lineage: Eukaryota; Metazoa; Mollusca; Cephalopoda; Octopoda; Octopodidae. The record is from RNAcentral.